This 504-nucleotide ribosomal RNA is filed under the name uncultured bacterium. RNAcentral describes it as "bacterial SSU rRNA". It matches the Rfam family "Bacterial small subunit ribosomal RNA", at positions 8 to 507 of the family's 1533-position model. The record is from RNAcentral.
AGAGUUUGAUCAUGGCUCAGAUUAAACGCUGGCGGCAUGCCUUACACAUGCAAGUCGAACGGCAGCACGGGGGCAACCCUGGUGGCGAGUGGCGAACGGGUGAGUAAAGCAUCGGAACGUGCCCUGGAGUGGGGGAUAACGUAGCGAAAGUUACGCUAAUACCGCAUAUUCUGUGAGCAGGAAAGCAGGGGAUCGCAAGACCUUGCGCUCUGGGAGCGGCCGAUGUCGGAUUAGCUAGUUGGUGGGGUAAAGGCCUACCAAGGCGACGAUCCGUAGCGGGUCUGAGAGGAUGAUCCGCCACACUGGGACUGAGACACGGCCCAGACUCCUACGGGAGGCAGCAGUGGGGAAUUUUGGACAAUGGGCGAAAGCCUGAUCCAGCCAUGCCGCGUGAGUGAAGAAGGCCUUCGGGUUGUAAAGCUCUUUCGGUGGGGAAGAAAUUGCAUGGGUUAAUACCCUGUGUGGAUGACGGUACCGGCAUAAGAAGCACCGGCUAACUACGUG